CCAGUGAGCAUGCUGAAACUUUCAGCAGAUAUUUGUUAAAUUCCAUUUAAUGACAGUGGAAAGAAAUGGAAACUGGCUUCUUUGAGAGGAAUGACAGUUGGAUACACUUUGUUAAGAAUUUAAACCCCUUGCUACUUCCUACCUGGCCUUUGUGAACACCUGUGUCUGUUCUGAGAACUCCAUGCACAGCAGCCAGUGUCCUGAUCAGAGAGAUGGAGAUCGAUAAGUCCUUUAGGAAAGAACAACACAGAGCUUAUGAACAGAAAAUAUUUUUGAAAAAGUCAGUUUGCUUAUUUAAAAACUUCUUGUAGAGACAAAGUGCUUUCCCUGUGCUACAGAUGAAAGAUGAAUAUGGGAGUUUAAUAGCAUUUGUAUGUGAUGUUUGGGGAAACUUGGCAAGUGAGGAGCACUGUGAUUAAUCACUCUGAAACCACCACUAAUCAAAUAAUGAAUGUUCCAAGCACAUAAGCGGAGGGAUAGUGUUGCACAAAUACACAGGGCACUAGACAUUGAAUGCAUGGGUGCACUGAGGGCCGGUAGUGUUUUCAUUAUGUCAUCUGCUUACAUUUUUUUAUGGAGCUCUGUGUUAUAUCAGAAGCAUUAAUGGAUAGAAGAGCUGCCUAUCUCUUUAAAGAAUUGUAUUCUAAACCCCGUUGCAAACAGCAGGCUAACUUAGCUGGGUAGAGAUGCUGGUCCCAAGAUCUCAGCCAGUUUACCUUCAUCUUCAUAGUUCCACCAUUAGAUCUUCCCUGUUCCCUGUUCAGGAAAUGGUGACAAAUGGCAGCUCUCUACCUGAAAGGUGAGUGCAUUAGACAGGCAGUGGUGAGUGACGAACCUGCCAGAAGGAGGUGUGGCAGAGAAUGACCUUGCUGUGCCUUAUGGCCUUUGGUUCCUUACUAUCCUUCUUUAUUACUUAGUCACACAUCUCAAACACAGGCCUGGUAGAUGGAAUUUUUCUGCUUGAUGAAACUCAUGAUUUCCCAGGCCAAAUAAAUAACUAUAAUCCCUAACUUUCAUGCACUGUCAAGCCUUUACUAAGUAUUUUUCAUGUAGUAUCUCAUUUCAUUUGUCC
RNAcentral lists this long non-coding RNA (1072 nucleotides) under Marmota monax (woodchuck). Lineage: Eukaryota; Metazoa; Chordata; Mammalia; Rodentia; Sciuridae. The record is from RNAcentral.